GGCAAGGAAGCGAUCUGUGCCACAUGCUGGCAUUGUUACUGCUGUGGUGGGCUCCUAAUUCUCUAGUGGAAGGCUUCCCCCACCCAGUUUGUGCCUGAUCAUAUUUAGAGACAACUUCAACCUCAGUCCCACACAAAGGGACUAGCAGAGCCUCCUCUUUCAGGCACUAGCAGGCGGGGGAACUGAGAUUUCUUUCCCUCCAGCCCCUACUCGCUCAACCUGCUACCCCCGCACGAUCAUCCCUUACCAGGAGCACAGACUCUUCUGCCAGGGCUAGCAGCCCGCCGUGCUCGCAGCCCCUGGCGAAGAACAAAGCGCGGCCAUUUUGGCUAAGGGCACGCUACCUUCACAGCCAUUGGAAGCAACGUGGGAACAGCAGCCAUCUUGGCUAAGGGCGGCCUCACUGCCAACCCCGCGGCCGAGAAUGCAGGGAAACGGCGGCCAUCUUAACAGACGGCCGCCUGGCUUCACACGCACUUGAGAGAAUCCAAAAAGAUAUGGGGCAUAUUUCAAAUUCACAUCAAUAAGGACUCCAGGCUCUGUUAUAAGGUUUUCAUUCAACUCCAUCCCUUAGAAACUUGGCCGGCUCCAGCUUUUUUGCUGCCCCAAGAAGCGAAGAAAAAAAAAAAAGGAAAACCAGAUUGAAGGACCUGCCGCCGAAGUGCUUCCGAAGAGGAAGCGAGGCACUGAAGGACUCACCGCUGAAUUGCCGCCGCAGACCCCGGACGUGCCACCCCUUUCUAUUGGCCGCCCCAGGCACCUGCUUCCUUCGCUGGUGCCUGGAGCCGGCCCUGGUCCCCAUCACUUGGAGCAUGUACAUCAGGGGCGAGGAGAGACUUGGUCUUUUGGGCCUGCAGUGAUUGGUCAGCUUCCGGUUGGCCCAGUGCAGGGUUGAUACACCUCAUGGCAUGUAUAAUAAUUUCACAUCAGCCUAAUCAAUUUAUAUGAGAAAUUUGCUUGGGGUCUAGUAACGUGGAUUGAUUCUUCCUCUGCAGGAUACAAG
Long non-coding RNA from Mauremys mutica (yellowpond turtle), 1003 nucleotides. RefSeq lists it as uncharacterized. NCBI's taxonomy places the organism in Eukaryota, Metazoa, Chordata, Testudines, Geoemydidae. The transcript is spliced from 3 exons. The record is from RefSeq and is a predicted model, not a curated record.